UCUUUACUUUUGCAAAAGCCAGGAGAGACAAGAACACAUCUGCCAUGAGACUGACUGGCUUCAAGAUCUUUGUGCAGUUGCUUGCAGUUGCUCUGAUAUGCAGCUUGGUCCCUGCUUUUGCUCUUCCCAAAGAUAAAGAUUGCAGGCGUGCGGUUUGCCCCCAGUACUAUGUUGAUGGUUGCGAGCCAGCCUACCCCCCUGGCUCAUGUUGUCCUGACUGGUCUCACUGUCCUAGCCAGCAGUUGCCAUUUUAGUUGCCAUUACAGUCCUCCCGUGGCUGAAAGAGUUGCAACAGCCAUCAACAGAUCAAGCAACUUAGAUUAACUCUCUUCUCGAGAACUUAAUAAAUGAUUAAAAACCA
This 361-nucleotide long non-coding RNA is filed under the name Penaeus japonicus. RNAcentral's name for it is "uncharacterized LOC122258937". The record is from RNAcentral. Lineage: Eukaryota; Metazoa; Arthropoda; Malacostraca; Decapoda; Penaeidae.